RNAcentral lists this ribosomal RNA (253 nucleotides) under uncultured prokaryote. RNAcentral's name for it is "partial 16S ribosomal RNA". It matches the Rfam family "Bacterial small subunit ribosomal RNA", at positions 525 to 777 of the family's 1533-position model. The record is from RNAcentral.
ACGAAGGGUGCAAGCGUUAAUCGGAAUUACUGGGCGUAAAGGGUGCGUAGGCGGUUCGUUAAGUCUGUCGUGAAAUCCCCGGGCUCAACCUGGGAAUGGCGAUGGAUACUGGCGAGCUAGAGUGUGUCAGAGGAUGGUGGAAUUCCCGGUGUAGCGGUGAAAUGCGUAGAGAUCGGGAGGAACACCCGUGGCGAAGGCGGCUCACUGGGCUGACCUUGGCGCUGAGGCGCGAAGGCGUGGGGAGCGAACGGGA